GACAGAGGCCUCAAGCGUUAGGCGGAAUCACUGGGCUUAAAGCGUGUGUAGGCGGAUCGUUAAGUACCUUGUGAAAUCCCACGGCUCACCCGUGGAACUGCUGGGUAUACUGGCGAUCUUGGGCCAACUAGGGGCAGCUGGAACAAGCGGUGGAGCGGUGAAAUGCGUAGAUAUCGCUUGGAACGCCAAAGGUGAAAACAGGCUGCUGGGGUUGUGCCGACGCUGAGACACGAAAGCCAGGGGAGCAAACGGG
This 253-nucleotide ribosomal RNA is filed under the name uncultured bacterium. RNAcentral describes it as "partial 16S ribosomal RNA". It matches the Rfam family "Bacterial small subunit ribosomal RNA", at positions 524 to 776 of the family's 1533-position model. The record is from RNAcentral.